GCAUCGGGGGUUCAGUGGUAGAAUGCUCACCUGCCACGCGGGCGCGGGUUCGAUUCCCGGCCAAUGCA
Molecule: transfer RNA, 68 nt
Filed under: Cordylochernes scorpioides
Lineage: Eukaryota; Metazoa; Arthropoda; Arachnida; Pseudoscorpiones; Chernetidae
Description: tRNA-Gly
Rfam family: tRNA
About the family: Transfer RNA (tRNA) molecules are approximately 80 nucleotides in length. Their secondary structure includes four short double-helical elements and three loops (D, anti-codon, and T loops).
Source: RNAcentral